RNAcentral lists this long non-coding RNA (509 nucleotides) under Cricetulus griseus (Chinese hamster). Its description in RNAcentral is "lncRNA (ENSCGRG00015027150.2)". Lineage: Eukaryota; Metazoa; Chordata; Mammalia; Rodentia; Cricetidae. The record is from RNAcentral.
CAUACUUCUCAACCAAGCCCCUGUCUACCUCAUCAUCAUCAUUCGGUCCUCAGUCACUUCAGUACUUUUCACCAUCUGACUCAUCGAGGCUCUUCAUGCUGUAAAGCAGUUCAACUUCUCCAGGAAACAGAGUCAGGCAGAGCUUAGAGUUCCGGAUGUUUAUCAGGGAGUGGUGCUUGAGUCAACACCCGUGCAAAGGACUGGGCUGAGGCAGAAUUGGGAAGAGGGAGAAAUCCAGCUGAGAUGCAAGCCAGACAGUGCCCGCCAACAGCACAGGGUGCUCAGAAACUUGAAACAGAACACAGAGGAGUUGACAAUUCAGCAGUACUGAUCUACUUGUAGCUUACAGACCCUCUGAGUGGUCAUGCUGAUCCAGAUCCAGUGCUUGAGUUGGUCCACCCCAACAACUACUCCAUCUAAGAGCUGCUGGAACCGGUGGAGGAGCUGGUGAUACAAAACCAGAUUCAGGAACAAGUCAUCUACACUGAGGAUUAAAACCUGAAGCGUGG